Molecule: ribosomal RNA, 698 nt
Filed under: uncultured Lachnospiraceae bacterium
Lineage: Bacteria; Bacillati; Bacillota; Clostridia; Lachnospirales; Lachnospiraceae
Description: bacterial SSU rRNA
Rfam family: Bacterial small subunit ribosomal RNA
Source: RNAcentral
UCGAACGAAGCAAUUAAGAUGAAGUUUUCGGAUGGAAUCUUGAUUGACUGAGUGGCGGACGGGUGAGUAACGCGUGGAUAACCUGCCUCACACUGGGGGAUAACAGUUAGAAAUGACUGCUAAUACCGCAUAAGCGCACAGUGCCGCAUGGCAGUGUGUGAAAAACUCCGGUGGUGUGAGAUGGAUCCGCGUCUGAUUAGCCAGUUGGCGGGGUAACGGCCCACCAAAGCGACGAUCAGUAGCCGACCUGAGAGGGUGACCGGCCACAUUGGGACUGAGACACGGCCCAAACUCCUACGGGAGGCAGCAGUGGGGAAUAUUGCACAAUGGGCGAAAGCCUGAUGCAGCGACGCCGCGUGAGUGAAGAAGUAUUUCGGUAUGUAAAGCUCUAUCAGCAGGGAAGAAAAUGACGGUACCUGACUAAGAAGCCCCGGCUAACUACGUGCCAGCAGCCGCGGUAAUACGUAGGGGGCAAGCGUUAUCCGGAUUUACUGGGUGUAAAGGGAGCGUAGACGGCGAAGCAAGUCUGAAGUGAAAACCCAGGGCUCAACCCUAGGACUGCUUUGGAAACUGUUUUGCUAGAGUGUCGGAGAGGUAAGUGGAAUUCCUAGUGUAGCGGUGAAAUGCGUAGAUAUUAGGAGGAACACCAGUGGCGAAGGCGGCUUACUGGACGAUAACUGACGUUGAGGCUCGAAAGC